UCUAAUACCGGAUACGACCCCAUGGGGCAUCUUGUGGGGUGGAAAGUUCCGGCGGUAUGGGAUGGACCCGCGGCCUAUCAGCUUGUUGGUGGGGUGAUGGCCUACCAAGGCGACGACGGG
This 120-nucleotide ribosomal RNA is filed under the name Saccharothrix mutabilis subsp. capreolus. RNAcentral's name for it is "partial 16S rRNA". It matches the Rfam family "Bacterial small subunit ribosomal RNA", at positions 162 to 283 of the family's 1533-position model. The record is from RNAcentral. Lineage: Bacteria; Bacillati; Actinomycetota; Actinomycetes; Pseudonocardiales; Pseudonocardiaceae.